UACGGAGGGUGCAAGCGUUAUCCGGAUUCACUGGGUUUAAAGGGGGCGUAGGCGGGUAAGUAAGUCCGGGGUGAAAUCUCUGAGCUUAACUCAGAAACUGCCGUGGAUACUAUUUGCCUUGAAUAUUGUGGAGGUGAGCGGAAUAUGUCAUGUAGCGGUGAAAUGCUUAGAUAUGACAUAGAACACCAAUUGCGAAGGCAGCUCACUACACAAUCAUUGACGCUGAGGCACGAAAGCGUGGGGAUCAAACAGG
Molecule: ribosomal RNA, 253 nt
Filed under: uncultured bacterium
Lineage: Bacteria
Description: partial 16S ribosomal RNA
Rfam family: Bacterial small subunit ribosomal RNA
Source: RNAcentral